This 441-nucleotide ribosomal RNA is filed under the name uncultured bacterium. Its description in RNAcentral is "partial 16S ribosomal RNA". It matches the Rfam family "Bacterial small subunit ribosomal RNA", at positions 338 to 795 of the family's 1533-position model. The record is from RNAcentral.
CCUACGGGUGGCUGCAGUGGGGAAUAUUGGACAAUGGGGGAAAGCCUGAUGCAGCAACGCCGCGUGAGUGAAGAAGGUUUUCGGGUUGUAACGCACUGUUAGCAGGGAAGAGGCAGGAGGGUACCUGAAGAGGAAGCGAGGGCUAAAUACGAGCCAGCAGCCGCGGUAAUACGUAGGUGGCCAGCGUUGUUCGGAAUAACUGGGCGUAAAGGAUGCGUAGUCGGUUAAACAAGUUAUAUGUUAAAUAUAUAGGCUUAACCUGUAGAAAGCAUAUUAAAGUGUUUAACUAGAGUGAAGGAGAGGGAAGUAGAAUUCCUAGUGUAGCAGUGAAAUGCGUAGAGAUGAGGAAGAACACCAGUGGCGAAGGCGACUUACUGGACUGUCACUGACGCUGAGGCAUGAGAGCAUGGGUAGCAAACAGGAUUAGAUACCCUUGUAGUC